UACGUAGGGGGCAAGCGUUGUCCGGAUUUACUGGGCGUAAAGAGCGUGUAGGCGGCCACGCAGGUCCGUUGUGAAAACUGGAGGCUCAACCCCGGACUUGCAGUGGGUACGGGCAGACUAGAGUGUGGUAGGGGAGACUGGAAUUCCUGGUGUAGCGGUGAAAUGCGCAGAUAUCAGGAGGAACACCGAUGGCGAAGGCAGGUCUCUGGGCCACUACUGACGCUGAGAAGCGAAAGCAUGGGGAGCGAACAGG
RNAcentral lists this ribosomal RNA (253 nucleotides) under uncultured bacterium. RNAcentral's name for it is "partial 16S ribosomal RNA". It matches the Rfam family "Bacterial small subunit ribosomal RNA", at positions 524 to 776 of the family's 1533-position model. The record is from RNAcentral.